RNAcentral lists this ribosomal RNA (551 nucleotides) under uncultured bacterium. Its description in RNAcentral is "partial 16S ribosomal RNA". It matches the Rfam family "Bacterial small subunit ribosomal RNA", at positions 355 to 896 of the family's 1533-position model. The record is from RNAcentral.
UAGGGAAUCUUCCACAAUGGACGCAAGUCUGAUGGAGCAACGCCGCGUGAGUGAAGAAGGUUUUCGGACCGUAAAGCUCUGUUGUUGGUGAAGAAGGAUAGAGGUAGUAACUGGCCUUUAUUUGACGGUAAUCAACCAGAAAGUCACGGCUAACUACGUGCCAGCAGCCGCGGUAAUACGUAGGUGGCAAGCGUUGUCCGGAUUUAUUGGGCGUAAAGCGAGCGCAGGCGGAAGAAUAAGUCUGAUGUGAAAGCCCUCGGCUUAACCGAGGAAUUGCAUCGGAAACUGUUUUUCUUGAGUGCAGAAGAGGAGAGUAGAACUCCAUGUGUAGCGGUGGAAUGCGUAGAUAUAUGGAAGAAUACCAGUGGCGAAGGCGGCUCUCUGGUCUGCAACUGACGCUGAGGCUCGAAAGCAUGGGUAGCGAACAGGAUUAGAUACCCUGGUAGUCCAUGCCGUAAACGAUGAGUGCUAAGUGUUGGGAGGCUUCCGCCUCUCAGUGCUGCAGCUAACGCAUUAAGCACUCCGCCUGGGGGAGUACGACCGCAAGGUUG